GAUGAACGCUAGCUACAGGCUUAACACAUGCAAGUCGAGGGGAAACGGCAUUAAGUGCUUGCACUUUUUGGACGUCGACCGGCGCACGGGUGAGUAACGCGUAUCCAACCUUCCCAUGACUAAGGGAUAACCUGCCGAAAGGCAGACUAAUACCUUAUGGUCUUCACUGACGGCAUCAGAUGUGAAGUAAAGAUUUAUCGGUUAUGGAUGGGGAUGCGUCUGAUUAGCUUGUUGGCGGGGUAACGGCCCACCAAGGCAACGAUCAGUAGGGGUUCUGAGAGGAAGGUCCCCCACAUUGGAACUGAGACACGGUCCAAACUCCUACGGGAGGCAGCAGUGAGGAAUAUUGGUCAAUGGGCGAGAGCCUGAACCAGCCAAGUAGCGUGCAGGAUGACGGCCCUAUGGGUUGUAAACUGCUUUUGUAUGGGGAUAAAGUCAAUCACGUGUGAUUGUUUGCAGGUACCAGACGAAUAAGGACCGGCUAAUUCCGUG
RNAcentral lists this ribosomal RNA (492 nucleotides) under uncultured bacterium. Its description in RNAcentral is "partial 16S ribosomal RNA". It matches the Rfam family "Bacterial small subunit ribosomal RNA", at positions 28 to 507 of the family's 1533-position model. The record is from RNAcentral.